ACGACCGACGGUGCCGAAAGCUGUUCCACUUCGAGCGUCAGGCGAUCGCGAAGCGGAGACCGGAUGCAAACCGGGUCCGUUGCGC
This 85-nucleotide small RNA is filed under the name Sinorhizobium meliloti 2011. RNAcentral describes it as "putative ncRNA". The record is from RNAcentral. Lineage: Bacteria; Pseudomonadati; Pseudomonadota; Alphaproteobacteria; Hyphomicrobiales; Rhizobiaceae.